RNAcentral lists this ribosomal RNA (253 nucleotides) under uncultured bacterium. RNAcentral describes it as "partial 16S ribosomal RNA". It matches the Rfam family "Bacterial small subunit ribosomal RNA", at positions 524 to 776 of the family's 1533-position model. The record is from RNAcentral.
UACGUAGGUGGCAAGCGUUGUCCGGAAUUAUUGGGCGUAAAGCGCGCGCAGGCGGUUCUUUAAGUCUGAUGUGAAAUCUCGCGGCUCAACCGCGAGCGGUCAUUGGAAACUGGGGAACUUGAGUGCAGAAGAGGAGAGUGGAAUUCCACGUGUAGCGGUGAAAUGCGUAGAGAUGUGGAGGAACACCAGUGGCGAAGGCGACUCUCUGGUCUGUAACUGACGCUGAGGCGCGAAAGCGUGGGGAGCGAACAGG